UAGUAGAUAUCUGUUAAACAAUUGUCAUUAUUGUUUCAUCAAUACAAAGAAAAGGUGAUUAGCAUUUUGUAAAAAACUGUCUUCAUUUUUCUGUUUACAAGUGAUUAAAAAUACAUAGUAUAUUUACCUGUCGGAUUGCUGUUUUCGUACAGUUUAAGUUUUAAAAAAGCCAACUACACAAGCUCCGCUUUGUUUGAUCAUCUUUAAAAAUCCGCAAUAUGAAUGCACAAGGACAGAGAAAUGUUGAAAAAGAUGGUUCUGUCAACAAAGAUCCAAAUACCCCAAAAAAA
Long non-coding RNA from Ruditapes philippinarum (Manila clam), 290 nucleotides. RefSeq lists it as uncharacterized. The record is from RefSeq and is a predicted model, not a curated record. The transcript has 3 exons. NCBI's taxonomy places the organism in Eukaryota, Metazoa, Mollusca, Bivalvia, Venerida, Veneridae.